ACAGCAGCAGCCGCGGUAAUGCGUAGGUGGCAAGCGUUGUCCGGAAUUAUUGGGCGUAAAGGGCUCGCAGGCGGUUUCCUAAGUCUGAUGUGAAAGCCCCCGGCUCAACCGGGGAGGGUCAUUGGAAACUGGGAAACUUGAGUGCAGAAGAUGAGAGUGGAAUUCCACGUGUAGCGGUGAAAUGCGUAGAGAUGUGGAGGAACACCAGUAGCGAAGGCGACUCUCUGGUCUGUAACUGACGCUGAGGAGCGAAAGCGUGGGGAGCGAACAGGAUUAGAUACCCCUGUAGUCCCUGUCUCUUAUAC
RNAcentral lists this ribosomal RNA (305 nucleotides) under uncultured bacterium. RNAcentral describes it as "partial 16S ribosomal RNA". It matches the Rfam family "Bacterial small subunit ribosomal RNA", at positions 505 to 807 of the family's 1533-position model. The record is from RNAcentral.